GCCAACGACCAUACCACGUUGAAUACACCAGUUCUCGUCCGAUCACUGAAGUUAAGCAACGUCGGGCGUAGUUAGUACUUGGAUGGGUGACCGCUUGGGAACACUACGUGCCGUUGGCAUUC
This 122-nucleotide ribosomal RNA is filed under the name Acyrthosiphon pisum (pea aphid). The record is from RNAcentral. Lineage: Eukaryota; Metazoa; Arthropoda; Insecta; Hemiptera; Aphididae.